ACUCGUUUACUAUUGGCCAACUUUAAUCCUAAUAUGUAUUCCUUAUAGACUUAUUAAUAAACAUAUUAGCAUAUUUCUCAUGUACAUUUAAGUCUAGUGCUAAGCUAAAAGGAUUUUUGGAGUUAUUGGUUCUGCAGUUCAAAAAGUAGUGUCAACAUUUUUAAAAUUUGGAUCACCUAAUAGCUCGCAAAAUUGUAAAGUGCUGCCUACACUAUUGCUUAAUACUUGUGCAACUAAUUUUACAUUCGUUUUUUCGUUAUAAAAGUAGAUAUCUGUAUUUCAUAAUGGACGUAUGUAUAACCCUGGAAAAUAAUCGCAUGGACAAUAUAAUCUCGGAAUCGUAUAUAGGUGAACUAUAUUUUCACGAACUGUAGAAAUCAGAAAAGUAUCUAAGCGUAUAGUCACGGACUGUAGAAACCCGGUAGAAAAUAAACACACAAACCGUAUGUGUUGCAGACAGUAUAUUUCCGGAAUCUAAAUUUUAAGGGACACUAACGCUGUCAAGCAGUGUAAUGUAUAGUUACAAAUAUAAUAAAUGGUUUAAACUUUUUAAGGAUUUGUAAAUUAGCAACGAAAUGUAACCUGUAACAGUAAAUGUGUUUACAUUUUAAAAAGAGCAAAGCGAGGACUAUUUUUAAGUGGUUAUUACUUCACAAAUUUUGAUAUCCCUGACUUCAGUCCCCCUCCCGAAUCUCAAAUACUAUUUGUGCCUAUAUCUAGAAGAGUACUAAACGAACACUCACAUUGCCUCAGCGAAAGUACUGUUGGCAGGCACGACUGAUAUAAUACUUACAGAUUACAAUAGCAUUGACACCCGUUAAAAUAAUUUAUAUUUUUAAUUAAGUUUUUUUUUAGUUAUUACAUGUACUUAUGAUUUUAGAUUCUGAACAGAACGAUUUUAUAAUAAUGUAUGUUUUUAUUUAUGUGAUAUGGGUACACAAUUAUUUAUGAAAUAACUAUUAUAACAGUUGAUGCAGCUGUUCAUAACGCUCUGUACAGGGACAGUAAAGUUGUCUCAAUGGCAUAUACAUCGAUGACUACUGUGUAGUGUGUAUGUUGCC
This is a non-coding RNA of Cinara cedri, 1061 nucleotides long. NCBI's taxonomy places the organism in Eukaryota, Metazoa, Arthropoda, Insecta, Hemiptera, Aphididae. The record is from the annotation of a GenBank genome assembly.